GGGAGGCAGCAGUGGGGAAUAUUGGACAAUGGGGGCAACCCUGAUCCAGCCAUGCCGCGUGAGUGAUGAAGGCCCUAGGGUUGUAAAGCUCUUUUGUGCGGGAAGAUAAUGACGGUACCGCAAGAAUAAGCCCCGGCUAACUUCGUGCCAGCAGCCGCGGUAAUACGAAGGGGGCUAGCGUUGCUCGGAAUCACUGGGCGUAAAGGGUGCGUAGGCGGGUCUUUAAGUCAGGGGUGAAAUCCUGGAGCUCAACUCCAGAACUGCCUUUGAUACUGAAGAUCUUGAGUUCGGGAGAGGUGAGUGGAACUGCGAGUGUAGAGGUGAAAUUCGUAGAUAUUCGCAAGAACACCAAUGGCGAAGGCGGCUCACUGGCCCGAUACUGACGCUGAGGCACGAAAGCUUGGGGAGCAAACAGGAUUAGAUACCCUGGUAGUCCCCGCCGUAUACGAUGAAUGCCUGCCGUUAGUGGGUUUACUCACUAAUGGCGCACCUAACGCUUUAAGCAUUCCGCCUGGGGAGAACGGUCGCAAGAUUAAAACUUC
Molecule: ribosomal RNA, 542 nt
Filed under: Bradyrhizobium sp.
Lineage: Bacteria; Pseudomonadati; Pseudomonadota; Alphaproteobacteria; Hyphomicrobiales; Nitrobacteraceae
Description: bacterial SSU rRNA
Rfam family: Bacterial small subunit ribosomal RNA
Source: RNAcentral